RNAcentral lists this long non-coding RNA (1026 nucleotides) under Phasianus colchicus (ring-necked pheasant). Its description in RNAcentral is "lncRNA (ENSPCLG00000009613.1)". Lineage: Eukaryota; Metazoa; Chordata; Aves; Galliformes; Phasianidae. The record is from RNAcentral.
AUGGGAAUUGUAGUCCCAGAGUCCCCCGGCAGCGCUCCGGGGCGCGGGGCUGUUGUGGGAUGCGAUCCUGGGAUGGGGUCCGGGACGGGAGGGAACGGGUUGGAGACCGCGGCGCGCGGAAACCCCGCUGCCCCGCCUCGCACGCGCUCCCCGCCCCGCAGCUCGGCCCCAUCCCACUGCAAUCCCCCCCCAGAAGCGCAGCCCCGGAGAUGUAAAAAUAGAACUUUUAUUUCCCGUCUGUGCGGGGCGGAGGGGCGCAGAGGGGAGAGGGGCGAUGCCGACCCCGGUGCACAGAACAACGGACAGCGCCCGGGGUGCAGCGCUGGUCCUGCACGGCACCGCCCCGGGGUGCCACCAUCCCCCCGAGCCCCGCUCGCGGCGGCCCCGCAUCGCCCCGGGUGGCGGCCGGCGCCCAACACCGGGCACGAGGGGUGCGCGGCCCCGGGGGCGGGUUUACAAAAAGCCCCGUGGGCGAGGAGAGUAUCAAAACCGGUAUCAAAAUCCGUGCAGAGCGGCCGGGACCGACGCGAACCCGGGCCCGCACCGCGUGCUGGAUGCGCCUCCGGAGUCGGGGGGUCCCGGUGCCUCCGCCCUCCCGAGGCUCAGCGGGCGCUGGCGGAUCCGGAGCGGGGCUGCGGGCGGGCGCGGGCCGAGCAGCCCGGGAAGGAUUGGGCGAAACGAGGCGGCACCGCGGGCGGCGGGGUCGGGGACUGCGGGACGGGACGGGGCGGGCGCGGCGCGGGCUGCGGGGCGGCGGGGGACGGCGGGCGCGGUGCUUCCGUGCCCAGCCCCGGGCCGCCGGAGGCUGCGGGAACAGAGCGGCUGCGGGCGGGGGUGGAGCCCCGGGAGGCGGUGGGGGCCGGCGGGGGCCGGGGGGGCGGCGACGAGGCUCCGGGCGGACGACGAGGACACGCGGGGGGCGGCGGGCGGCCCUGGAGCAGCUCCAGCACGCGCUGCAGCUCCCGGCCGAGCUGCGAAACCUCGCGGUUGAGGUGGGCGAUCUGCAACGGGGACGGAAAGCAGUGA